Molecule: ribosomal RNA, 274 nt
Filed under: uncultured bacterium
Lineage: Bacteria
Description: partial 16S ribosomal RNA
Rfam family: Bacterial small subunit ribosomal RNA
Source: RNAcentral
AUACGGAGGGAGCGAGCGUUAAUCGGAAUUACUGGGCGUAAAGCGCGCGUAGGCGGCUUUGUAAGUCGGAUGUGAAAGCCCUGGGCUCAACCUGGGAAUGGCAUUCGAUACUGCAGAGCUAGAGUAUGGUAGAGGGAAGUGGAAUUUCCGGUGUAGCGGUGAAAUGCGUAGAUAUCGGAAGGAACACCAGUGGCGAAGGCGACUUCCUGGGCCAAUACUGACGCUGAGGUGCGAAAGCGUGGGGAGCAAACAGGAUUAGAUACCCCGGUAGUCC